GACGAACGCUGGCGGCGUGCUUAACACAUGCAAGUCGAGCGGUAAGGCCCUUUCGGGGGUACACGAGCGGCGAACGGGUGAGUAACACGUGGGUGACCUGCCCUCAGCUCUGGGAUAAGCCUGGGAAACUGGGUCUAAUGCUGGAUAUGACUCCACGGUGCAUGUCGUGGGGUGGAAAGCCUUGUGCGGCUGAGGAUGGGCCCGCGGCCUAUCAGCUUGUUGGUGGGGUGAUGGCCUACCAAGGCGACGACGGGUAGCCGGCCUGAGAGGGCGACCGGCCACACUGGGACUGAGACACGGCCCAGACUCCUACGGGAGGCAGCAGUGGGGAAUCUUGCGCAAUGGGCGAAAGCCUGACGCAGCGACGCCGCGUGCGGGAAGAAGGCCUCGGUGUAACG
Molecule: ribosomal RNA, 398 nt
Filed under: uncultured bacterium
Lineage: Bacteria
Description: bacterial SSU rRNA
Rfam family: Bacterial small subunit ribosomal RNA
Source: RNAcentral